This 115-nucleotide small nuclear RNA is filed under the name Erinaceus europaeus (western European hedgehog). RNAcentral's name for it is "U4 spliceosomal RNA". It matches the Rfam family "U4 spliceosomal RNA". Rfam says of the family: U4 small nuclear RNA (U4 snRNA) is a component of the major U2-dependent spliceosome. The structure of U4 snRNA from yeast and human has been reported. U4 snRNA presents a k-turn RNA motif in the 5p-SL related to recognition of Snu13 protein. Lineage: Eukaryota; Metazoa; Chordata; Mammalia; Eulipotyphla; Erinaceidae. The record is from Rfam by way of RNAcentral.
CGCUUAGUGCAGCGGCGGUAUUGUAGACAAUGAGAUUUAUACAAGGCGCGAUUAUUGCUAAUUGAAAAUUAAAAGUUAUACAAAUACAGAUGUCAAGAUAGAGAUUCUCAAGAGA